Molecule: ribosomal RNA, 497 nt
Filed under: uncultured bacterium
Lineage: Bacteria
Description: partial 16S ribosomal RNA
Rfam family: Bacterial small subunit ribosomal RNA
Source: RNAcentral
GAUGAACGCUGGCGGCGUGCCUAAUACAUGCAAGUCGAGCGAACGGACGAGAAGCUUGCUUUUCUGAUGUUAGCGGCGGACGGGUGAGUAACACGUGGAUAACCUACCUAUAAGACUGGGAUAACUUCGGGAAACCGGAGCUAAUACCGGAUAAUAUUUUGAACCGCAUGGUUCAAAAGAGAAAGACGGUCUUGCUGUCACUUAUAGAUGGAUCCGCGCUGCAUUAGCUGGUUGGUAAGGUAACGGCUUACCAAGGCAACGAUGCAUAGCCGACCUGAGAGGGUGAUCGGCCACACUGGAACUGAGACACGGUCAAGACUCCUACGGGAGGCAGCAGUAGGGAAUCUUCCGCAAUGGGCGAAAGCCUGACGGAGCAACGCCGCGUGAGUGAUGAAGGUCUUCGGAUCGUAAAACUCUGUUAUUAGGGAAGAACAUAUGUGUAAGUAACUGUGCACAUCUUGACGGUACCUAAUCAGAAAGCCACGGCUAACUACGUG